This 405-nucleotide ribosomal RNA is filed under the name uncultured bacterium. Its description in RNAcentral is "partial 16S ribosomal RNA". It matches the Rfam family "Bacterial small subunit ribosomal RNA", at positions 28 to 526 of the family's 1533-position model. The record is from RNAcentral.
GAUGAACGCUGGCGGCGUGCCUAAUACAUGCAAGUCGAGCGAAGCGGGGACGGGUGAGUAACACGUGGAUAACCUCCUAUAAGACUGGGAUAACUUCGGGCAGCCGGAGCUCAACCGGAUACUCAUAGAUGGAUCCGCGCUUCUUUAGCUAGUGGGUAAGGUAACGGCUUACCAAGGCAACGAGGCAUAACCGACCUGAGAGGGUGAUAGGCCACACUGGCACUGAGAAACGGUCCAGACUCCUACGGGAGGCAGCAGUAGGGCAUCUUCCGCAAUGGGCGAAAGCCUGACGGAGCAACGCCGCGUGAGUGAAGAAGGUCUGCGGAUCGUAAAACUCUGUUAUUAGGGAAGCGGUACCUAAUCAGAAAGCCACGGCUAACUACGUGCCAGCAGCCGCGGUAAUAC